Long non-coding RNA from Megalobrama amblycephala (Wuchang bream), 484 nucleotides. RefSeq lists it as uncharacterized. The record is from RefSeq and is a predicted model, not a curated record. NCBI's taxonomy places the organism in Eukaryota, Metazoa, Chordata, Actinopteri, Cypriniformes, Xenocyprididae. The transcript is spliced from 2 exons.
AUCCUGGCGGAACGAGAGGCUCCGUUACAGAGUUUUGCCUCUGUUUGUCUCAUAAACAGACUUAAAGUCAGACAUCUACUUUCAAGGAUCAGUAAUUUGCUAUCGAAGAGCACUGCUGGAGGCCUAUAGGAGACUGUCGCUACAAUGGAUGGAAUUAUUUGCACUUUUCACAUAAUGCAAGACUGCAGGAAAUGAUGGUUCACCACUCAUUAAAUAUAUGCAUACCUAGCUUGUUUGUGUCAUUUUUCCAAAUGCCUUAGUCAUCUUUUUAAUAAUAAUAUAUCAGUCCACUGAGCAAAUGAUUUGCUUAUUGUGAUUCUUUUGAUUGCUAAUUAUCUGUUUAUUUUUUGUUGUAUAACCACUCUGCUACGAAAGCAAAUACAUAGGCUCGUCAGUUAGUUUUUUUUUAUUUCUUCAGAAGUGGAGCAGCAUGGAAUGUGUGACAUCAAAAAUAUUCGAACAAAUAAAAAGUAUGAGUAUUUGA